Molecule: ribosomal RNA, 586 nt
Filed under: uncultured crenarchaeote
Lineage: Archaea; Thermoproteati; Thermoproteota
Description: bacterial SSU rRNA
Rfam family: Archaeal small subunit ribosomal RNA
Source: RNAcentral
AGCCAUGCGAGUCAACGUAGUAAUACGUGGCAUACGGCUCAGUAACACGUAGUCAACAUGCCCAGGGGACGUGGAUAACCUCGGGAAACUGAGGAUAAACCGCGAUAGGUCAUAGUAUCUGGAAUGAUUUAUGGCUUAAAUCUAUAUGGCCUCUGGAUUGGACUGCGGCCGAUCAGGCUGUUGGUGAGGUAAUGGCCCACCAAACCUGUAACCGGUACGGGCUCUGAGAGGAGAAGCCCGGAGAUGGGCACUGAGACAAGGGCCCAGGCCCUAUGGGGCGCAGCAGGCGCGAAAACUCUGCAAUAAGCGAAAGCUUGACAGGGUUAUUCUGAGUGAUUUCCGCUAAGGAAAUCUUUUGGCACCUCUAAAAAUGGUGCAGAAUAAGGGGUGGGCAAGCCUGGUGUCAGCCGCCGCGGUAAUACCAGCACCCCGAGUGGUCGGGACGAUUAUUGGGCCUAAAGCAUCCGUAGCCGGUUCUACAAGUCUUCCGUUAAAUCCACCUGCUUAACAGAUGGGCUGCGGAGGAUACUAUAGAGCUAGGAGGCGGGAGAGGCAAGCGGUACUUAGUGGGUAGGGGUAAAAUCCG